GCAAAAUCAGGUUCUAUUAAUACGGUACCGUUUUUUAGGGAAAUUAAAAGGAGAAGACGCAUCUCUCCAUCUGCAGAAAGCCAGAAACACGUUUUUGCACUUCUCCUAAACUCCCAAAUCCCCCUUCCCUCCUUCCUAAUCAAGCUUUUCCUUUUCCCAAUCAUCGUUCAAUGAUUCUUUGCAACGGCGACAACAUGAUGACCGAAGACAUUGAAUCUCAGAUGUAAAUCGAUUCGGUCCUGGCUUGAACUGCCCAAGUGACAGACCAACACAAUAUCACUGGGUCUCUCUCCCAUAUCUCAGUUCUCUCAUCCUCCUGUGAGUGUCGUCGGCGAUACUUUGAAUCUCUGGUGUUUCUAAGGUGAAUGUAUAUUUAUAUUGUAGCAAAUUAAUAUGGGGCCUGACUUGGAGAAAUCAAAAGUGUCUAAUGAAGCAUUCACUAAUAAAGAUAAUGGAAGUGUACCAGAAGAUAAACUUGUGCAAUGUAUAAGUAAUUAUGAGGACUAUAAUUUUCAUGACGAAGCUCUAAAUGAUGACCAAUAUAAGGUACCGGAUGGAAGUGAAGAUAUGGAAAUUAAUAUAAUUGAGUGUACAAAAUCUGGUGACAAUGGGCAAGUUGAAGCUAGAUGUGAGGAUACAACUGAGAGCAUGAGUUCUUUUGGUGACACAGUAUCUGAGACCGCAAAUGGUACAGCAUUGGGUGAUGGUGAAGUUGAGUCACAAUUAUGUGUCGGUGAUGCAUUGAUAUUUGAUAAAUAUGGUGGAGCAUUUCAAAUGAGGAACUUAUUAAUUUGAUCUAAUUGUUUUGUUGCACAUAUUUUUAAUGCUCAUGUGUUGGGAACCUGCCUUAUUCAUGAAGCCAGUGUUGAUCUCACUUCUCAAAGUCUCAAUGUGACUGCGUGCAUGUAACUACUGACCAGCUGGAGUGUCGAUGUUCACCAUGUAGUUGGAUUGGUCUCUAUGGACAUUAGAGAUACCCAUGAAAUGUUGCA
RNAcentral lists this unclassified non-coding RNA (992 nucleotides) under Hevea brasiliensis (rubber tree). The record is from RNAcentral. Lineage: Eukaryota; Viridiplantae; Streptophyta; Magnoliopsida; Malpighiales; Euphorbiaceae.